UACAGAGGUCUCAAGCGUUGUUCGGAUUCAUUGGGCGUAAAGGGUGCGUAGGCGGCGCGGCAAGUCGGGUGUGAAAUCUCGGAGCUUAACUCCGAAACUGCAUUCGAUACUGCCGUACUUGAGGACUGGAGAGGAGACUGGAAUUUACGGUGUAGCGGUGAAAUGCGUAGAUAUCGUAAGGAAGACCAGUGGCGAAGGCGGGUCUCUGGACAGUUCCUGACGCUGAGGCACGAAGGUCAGGGGAGCAAACGGG
RNAcentral lists this ribosomal RNA (253 nucleotides) under uncultured bacterium. RNAcentral's name for it is "partial 16S ribosomal RNA". It matches the Rfam family "Bacterial small subunit ribosomal RNA", at positions 524 to 776 of the family's 1533-position model. The record is from RNAcentral.